CGUGUAUGAAGAAGGCCUUAGGGUUGUAAAGUACUUUCAGUUGGGAGGAAGGCGUUGAUGCUAAUAUCAUCAACGAUUGACGUUACCAACAGAAGAAGCACCGGCUAACUCCGUGCCAGCAGCCGCGGUAAUACGGAGGGUGCAAGCGUUAAUCGGAAUUACUGGGCGUAAAGCGCACGCAGGCGGUUGAUUAAGUUAGAUGUGAAAUCCCCGGGCUUAACC
Molecule: ribosomal RNA, 222 nt
Filed under: Providencia alcalifaciens
Lineage: Bacteria; Pseudomonadati; Pseudomonadota; Gammaproteobacteria; Enterobacterales; Morganellaceae
Description: partial 16S ribosomal RNA
Rfam family: Bacterial small subunit ribosomal RNA
Source: RNAcentral